AUUAUAUAAAAAAGAAAGUAUUUAAUAUAAUUAAUGGGAUCCAAAUUGUGCGCUAUUCUGAUGAUGAUGAUGGUGAUAUUUCAAUCAAUGAUAUUAUCAAUAUCAGGGGACAAUGAUAAUUGUCCAGACAGCAAGUGCUCACAGGAAUGUAAUAUAUCUAUGACGGGUGCUGAUGGGUGUAUGUUCUGCAGAUGUUCGAUGGAUCCGCCUAUCAAUGUUGAAGAUGAUAGGAUUGUAGAUGAGGAUGUCAGAGAAAAAUUUCGGAUUCGGUGAAAAGCGUAACGAAAAAAAUGUUGUAUAGGAAUUUAUGUAUUUAAUAGAUAUAAUGAUAAAACUGAC
This is a long non-coding RNA of Gordionus sp. m RMFG-2023, 339 nucleotides long. RefSeq lists it as uncharacterized. Lineage: Eukaryota; Metazoa; Nematomorpha; Gordioida; Chordodea; Parachordodidae. The record is from RefSeq and is a predicted model, not a curated record. The transcript has 3 exons.